RNAcentral lists this long non-coding RNA (1000 nucleotides) under Gallus gallus (chicken). Its description in RNAcentral is "lncRNA (ENSGALG00010011171.1)". The record is from RNAcentral. Lineage: Eukaryota; Metazoa; Chordata; Aves; Galliformes; Phasianidae.
AUUUGCUCAGCACCAUUCCUUCCCUCUGGUUUGUGCUGGUUCUCCCAAGGCGUGGGUGUGGCCUCACCAGGGAAGAAUGAUUUAUCAAAGAUAUAAAUCAAAAUGACUGUUUAGCAGCACUGAUUAGCUUCAGAUGAGUAUUUGUGGAAGCACAAUAGCAUCUAAACAUGCCAUGUCUUGGCUACCGUGGCACGGCGUGUCUCGUUUAGUCCACAUGCCCAUCUGUGUGUGCCCUUUAGUGCCUGUAAAGAUUUAAAAUUGCAAAGAGAAGAAUUUUAUCUCCUGUUGAGGACAACCCCAUUUCACACGCACCAGCUCUGCAAUCCGGAGGGUGUAAUUCAGGCGUGCAGGACGCGGCUCUGCAGACACGGCCAUACAUCACCUCGGCACGGCUGCCAUGCACUGCAUCCCCUGCUCACACCUCCCCUCCGUCCUUCCCCAGGAGCAGUGAGCGAACGAACCAGUUGCACAUCUGCACUGAGCAAGCCAAAGCAUGAAUCCUGAAGGCACGAGUGGAAACAAAGAGGUCAGUGCCUUCAGAGCCCCCAGCUCUGUGCACACGGUGCCGGCCCAUUGCCCACCAGCAGCGUGGGGCUGCAGUGGGUGCUGUGGGGCUUCAUGCUGCAGCUGCCCCAGAGAAGGCCAGCAGAGACCCUGCUGGUGUGCAUCACCAUUGGAAACAAGAGGGGGAAUGGGUGUUGCUUAGCAAUGCACUACGGCACGCUCCAGUCCUGGGGAAUGGGCAAAGAGCUGUCAGAAACCCCAGCAUUAUUAUUACUGUUAUUGCAAGAGCACCCAGAUGCACACGGCGCUUUGCAGACAAAAGUAAUCGGUGGUCCUUCAGCCUGUGGAGCUGCAGUGGCACAGGAUGCUGCCCCAGGCAGCAGUGGACACGGGCUGUGGAGCAGAACAGCACAGCAUGGCCCCUUUUGGCCCUCUCCCUGCACCCACUGAUGGUGUGGGAAGGUUUCUUUCUGAGCACGUUAAAGUGAGAAGUGAG